This is a long non-coding RNA of Mercenaria mercenaria, 543 nucleotides long. RefSeq lists it as uncharacterized. The record is from RefSeq and is a predicted model, not a curated record. The transcript is spliced from 3 exons. NCBI's taxonomy places the organism in Eukaryota, Metazoa, Mollusca, Bivalvia, Venerida, Veneridae.
GUGGGGAAGUUAUACGUCAACAUUCAAAGAAACAGACAAGUCAAAAGAUUUCCUGUGGUCAGAAGUUAUACAGACCAGAAAUUGUUACGGAUGUAUGUGUGACCACUCAGUCCACUCAGUCUAAAAGUAACUUAUGGGUGCUGCAGACCAAUUAUGCCGACGUCAUGGAUUCUAGGGUGUGCAAAGCAACUGCUGAACUCAUUUUACAACCCGUACACAUCAUCACGCACUCCAAAGAUGCGAAAAAAAAAACUGCCGCGGUUUGAGGUUGUAGAGUCCGAGUUAGUUUGUUCGACGAAUCAAGUUCAGCCGAUAACAAUAGGUCACAUCGAGGACAGUCACUUUGUUCCACUUGUAUUCCACUUGUAAAAACUGUCUGAUGGAUGGGAUGGACAUUCUCGAUCUGAAGCUGCAGAUUUCCUUCACUCGAUAACCUAGCUUCGACUUUAUUGAGAUCUUCAUGGUUCUGUAUCAAGGUCUUUCUGCUUUGUCGGGGAUCAAUGUACAACUACAAGAAAAGGCAACCGAUGUGUAUGAUGCUUU